CUAUUGUGUUGGCCUUCGGGAUCGGAGUAAUGAUUAAUAGGGAUAGUCGGAGGCAUUUGUAUUUCAUGGUCAGAGGUGAAAUUCUUAGAUUUAUGAAAGACGAACAACUACGAAAGCAUUUGCCAAGGAUGUUAAUUUUCAUUAAUCAAGAACGAAAGUUUGGGGGCUCGAAG
This 173-nucleotide ribosomal RNA is filed under the name Oryza glaberrima (African rice). RNAcentral describes it as "rRNA EPlOGLG00000000194". It matches the Rfam family "Eukaryotic small subunit ribosomal RNA", at positions 836 to 1003 of the family's 1831-position model. Lineage: Eukaryota; Viridiplantae; Streptophyta; Magnoliopsida; Poales; Poaceae. The record is from RNAcentral.